RNAcentral lists this ribosomal RNA (88 nucleotides) under Phytolacca americana (American pokeweed). Lineage: Eukaryota; Viridiplantae; Streptophyta; Magnoliopsida; Caryophyllales; Phytolaccaceae. The record is from RNAcentral.
GAUCCCAUCAGAACUCCGAAGUUAAGCGUGGUUGGGCGAGGGUAGUACUGGGAUGGGUGACCUCCUGGGAAGUCCUCGUGUUGCACCC